This 222-nucleotide long non-coding RNA is filed under the name Vigna radiata. Its description in RNAcentral is "long non-coding RNA (VRAD_LNC017093)". The record is from RNAcentral. Lineage: Eukaryota; Viridiplantae; Streptophyta; Magnoliopsida; Fabales; Fabaceae.
UACGAAUGUGUGCUUUGGGCUUUUAUUUUGGGUUUUCACAAGUUUUUGUUAUGGGUGUUCUUACCUUCACCACCACACCAUAUUUCCUCUACCUCCCUCAAAUUCUUUUUUAUUUCAAUUCUAUCUUUAGGUUAAAAUUUUUCUACUUUUAUCAUGUAUGAUUUUUUUAAUUAAUUUGAAAACUCUAUUUCUACUCAUUUUUGUUGCGCAGCUGCACUUCAC